UAACCGUCCAAAUCCUCCGUGAAUCUAUUUGAAUAGGUUGAGCUUCACAUUCUGCUGUCAGAUUUACUGAGAAUUCAUGCAGACUGCGCUAGAAAUGUUACGAAACAGACCUGUUACUAUUGUACAUGAACCUCGACGUAAGGUGGACCGUGUUUGACCAGUGAUUUUUUUGGGAACAUUUAAACGAAAUACAUAUCUGCAUAGUUUAUAUUUUUUACAACUGUACAAUUAUUAGUUAAAGGGAGAGAUUUUUAAAGGGGGAUAUCCAUCGAUUCGGAGUGUUUUUCUUCGUCUUUGUAGACCACGACAUAAGGGCCUCCACUACAAGCCUGACCCUGACAUAUAAGCCUGAACUAGACGUCUACUUAGACAUGACAUCUGUCACUAAUUCAUUCAGACAGCACAUAUUACGGUAAUGUGAGGAUGUAAACUGUGUGUCUAUAUACUGAAAGUUCCCAGUGAGGACUGAGUCUGACUAUCAGUCUAACCAUUUGGAUUUAGCACACCUGAUGGGAAAACCACCUUGUUUAAGACCUUAGGCAUCUGUUGGCAGACAUACAGAGAUGGCUCUUUAAUCAAAUUUUUUAAUAUGUUUUAAUAAGAUUUUUUUCAUUGCCCAGAAAGCAGCUAAUAAAUCACUCUUUUGCCAUAAUAUUAUUUUUAUAACGCAAACCUGGGCUGCUCAAGGGUUUACAAAGUUGCUUACACUAACACAGCAAGCAAUGGUUGUCAUGUCACGGUCUAGACCCAAAAUAGUCUGGCUAAGAGUAACCCACUUCUAGCCAAAAUAAACUUGAAUUUGGUUACAUGUCGUUUUUGCCAAAAUAACUUUGGAGAUGUAUGAGAUCCUAUUAUGCAAGGAAGGCCAUGUGUGGUGUUAGAUUUCAUAAAAUUUAUUUUUGGGCUAUGGUAAAACAUCCAUUUAAAUUUCCAUGACAGACCAAAUUUUGCCUUGUUUUAGCCUAGACGACUGGAUGGUGUUUGUAUUUCCAUUAGAUGCAUUUUAAAUGCAAUAUUGCUUGCUGGGAAGCCACAACUAUUAGAAAUUCUUUAAUGGUUUAGGAAAGAACACUGGAGGAUGAAGGCUUAUCAAUGCAUCAUAUAAAGGAAGAUGAAUGUAGUUUUUAUGAACUGACUUAAUGGAUGCAACUCAUCAGAUGUUGAUCGGGUCUAUGAAUUAUACAAUAGUUUAAAUAAAUAAUCACUUAAACAAGGAUUUACUAUCUAACAAAUGGAAUUCUGAAACAAAAACUGGGAUCACUCACAAAAUAAAAGUUAAGUUUAUUGUUGAACAACAAACUUCACACAUACAACAAACAGGCCAGGGUAAAACAAAUAAUGUAGACAAAAUAACAAGAAACCAAAACUCCUUUUCUUUGGCCUAGCCCACCCAUACAAAAACUAGUUUAUGGUACAACUAAAGUUCAUACAUAAAAUUUACUGGAAUGCUCAAGAGUUCAAUGGCUGUUGAUUUUAUACAUGUUGUCUUAUGUUGAAAUAUCGAGACAUGGUCAAACAAGUAAAAUUUCAUAUAGAAGCACCGUUUUGGUCACAGGAGAUCAUGAUAAAGUGACU
Long non-coding RNA from Paramisgurnus dabryanus, 1575 nucleotides. RefSeq lists it as uncharacterized. Lineage: Eukaryota; Metazoa; Chordata; Actinopteri; Cypriniformes; Cobitidae. The record is from RefSeq and is a predicted model, not a curated record.